This 352-nucleotide long non-coding RNA is filed under the name Malus domestica (apple). RNAcentral's name for it is "long non-coding RNA (MDOM_LNC004265)". The record is from RNAcentral. Lineage: Eukaryota; Viridiplantae; Streptophyta; Magnoliopsida; Rosales; Rosaceae.
UUAUUGUUGUUGAUGCACAAAACCGGAGGUCUUGGAACAACGUAAAUUCGACCGUGAAUCUGCAAGAAUGUAAAUAACACAAGAUGUAUCGUGGUUCACCCCAAGGUUUGGGCUACGUCCACACUGAUUAUGUAUUUAUCUGAGGGAGAGAGAGCUCUAAGAGUGAGAGCUUGGAGAGGGGGUGAGAGGGCCUAGGAAAUUGGCCUCCUUUAAUUGUGAGGGUGAGGGGUCCUUUUAUAGAAUAAGGACUCCUCACUUAUUACAUAUUUGCCUAUUCCUUUAUCACAUAAUUACAUUAAGUCCCCCGAUUAUUUGUACGAGAUCUAAAUACCAGGCCCUAAAUAUGGUAUAA